This 26-nucleotide non-coding RNA is filed under the name Homo sapiens (human). The record is from RNAcentral. Lineage: Eukaryota; Metazoa; Chordata; Mammalia; Primates; Hominidae.
UGAGUUUGGGACUAUGCGAAUGUAUC